This 429-nucleotide ribosomal RNA is filed under the name Chloroflexota bacterium. RNAcentral describes it as "Chloroflexi bacterium partial 16S ribosomal RNA". It matches the Rfam family "Bacterial small subunit ribosomal RNA", at positions 355 to 776 of the family's 1533-position model. Lineage: Bacteria; Bacillati; Chloroflexota. The record is from RNAcentral.
UGGGGAAUAUUGCACAAUGGGCGCAAGCCUGAUGCAGCCAUGCCGCGUGUAUGAAGAAGGCCUUCGGGUUGUAAAGUACUUUCAGUCGGGAGGAAGGUGUCAAGGUUAAUAACCUUGGCAAUUGACGUUACCGACAGAAGAAGCACCGGCUAACUCCGUGCCAGCAGCCGCGGUAAUACGGAGGGUGCAAGCGUUAAUCGGAAUUACUGGGCGUAAAGCGCACGCAGGCGGUUGAUUGAGUCAGAUGUGAAAUCCCCGGGCUUAACCCGGGAAUUGCAUCUGAUACUGGUCAGCUAGGGGCUUGUAGGGGGGGGUAGGAUUCCAUGUGUAGCGGUGAAAUGCGUAGAGGUGUGGAGGAAUACCGGUGGCGAAGGCGGCCCCCUGGACAAAGACUGACGCUCAGGUGCGAAAGCGUGGGGAGCAAACAGG